UGAAUACGAGACGCUAAGGCGUCGAAGUAGUGUAUGUCAUACUUCCAAGAAAAGCUUGCACUGUCAUAAGUAAAAAAUGCCUGUACCAUAACCGACACAGGUGGGUAGGUAGAGUAUACUAAGGGGCGCGAGAUAACUCUCUCUAAGGAACUCGGCAAAAUAACUCCGUAACUUCGGGAGAAGGAGUACCUUAUUCUAUAAGGUUGCAAUAACAAGAUCCAAGCAACUGUUUAUCAAAAACACAGGUCUCCGCUAAGUCGUAAGACGAUGUAUGGGGGCUUACGCCUGCCCAGUGCCAGAAGGUUAAAGAAGUCGGUUAGCAUUAGCGAAGCUGGUAACUGAAGCCCUGGUGAACGGCGGCCGUAACGAUAACGGUCCUAAGGUAGCGAAAUUCCUUGUCGGGUAAGUUCCGACCCGCACGAAAGGCGUAAUGAUUUGGAUACUGUCUCGGAGAGGGGCUCGGUGAAAUAGACUUGUCUGUGAAGAUGCGGACUACCUGCACCAGGACAGAAAGACCCUAUGAAGCUUUACUGUAACUUGAAAUUGAAAUUGGACUUUAUUCGCGCAGUAUAGGUGGGAGGUGUUGAUUAUAAUCUUGCGGGAUUAUUGGAGCCAUCAGUGAGAUACCACUCUUGUAAUGUUAGAUUUCUAACUUUGAAUCAUUAUCUGGUCAAAGGACAGUUUCAGGCGGGCAGUUUGACUGGGGCGGUCGCCUCCCAAACGGUAACGGAGGCGUACAAAGGUUUCCUCUGAACGGGUAGAAAUCGUAUCUAGAGUGUAAAGGCAUAAGGAAGCUUGACUGUGAGACCUACAAGUCGAACAGGGACGAAAGUUGGUCUUAGUGAUCUGACGGUACUGAGUGGAAAGGCCGUCACUCAACGGAUAAAAGUUACUCUAAGGAUAACAGGCUGAUCUCCCCCAAGAGUUCACAUCGACGGGGAGGUUUGGCACCUCGAUGUCGGCUCAUCGCAUCCUGGGGCGGUAGUACGUCCCAAGGGUUGGGCUGUUCGCCCAUGAAAGCGGUACGCGAGCUGGGUUCAGAACGUCGUGAGACAGUUCGGUCCAUAUCCGGUGUAGGCGUUAGAAUAUUGAGAGGAGCCUUCUUUAGUACGAGAGGACCGAGAAGGACAUACCUCUGGUGUACCAGUUAUCGUGCCAACGGUAAACGCUGGGUAGCUAUGUAUGGAGUGGAUAACCGCUGAAAGCAUCUAAGUGGGAAGCCCACCUCAAGAUAAG
Molecule: ribosomal RNA, 1236 nt
Filed under: metagenome
Description: bacterial LSU rRNA
Rfam family: Bacterial large subunit ribosomal RNA
Source: RNAcentral